AUCCUCCUUGUCCUAUCACCAUAUGCCCAUGUAAAAAACUGCGUAAGACCCAUGGUAAAUCCUAAUGUAACUAGCAGAAUGUGGGUAUGCAUUGUGAGGGUCCACCAUGGUGAAGGUGGCAAAGGAGCUGAAAACUGUGUCCAGAGCAGUACACAUGGUAAUCAUAAAUUAUUUUAGGUAACCAUGUUCCUGGAAGAAUUUAUGAUUUCUUUGGAAGCAAAACAAAACAAAAAAAAAUUAUUGCAGCCUCCUGAAGUAGAAGCUUUAGUUUAUGCUGUUGAUUUCUUUUGAAAGCUACUGAUGGAGAAGAACAUAAAAUUCCUGGCAGUAAAGCAAGACAGACAGGGAGGGAUGAGAAGUCAGAAGGGAUCUAGAAAUUUAGAAUGCUACCAGUAAAUUCUUCUUCAUACUCUUUCUCCUAAAUCACUUCACAUUUCUCAAGCAGCCAUUCAUGUACUUUUCCACCCUCCCAGUUUUUUUCCCAAGAGAUUUUCGGGUUCGUUUGGAUAAUACCCAAGGGACCGUGUCACUGACACCAUCAUGGGCCAGUGUGGACUCCUUUUGAAUGAAAAACGGGAAGUGUGUGUAGGACAGAAAGGACUCACAAAUAAGUGUAUAUUCCCUCCUUCCUCAGCUAGCAGGCAUCUGUAAACUUGUACGACUCAUUUCUGCUUUGCAUAGCUGUACCUGAUUUCAUAUGUUUUGAGGUAAGUUUGUGCAACAUAUCAGCUGGAAGGAAAGUGGGAAGCUGCUAAUAUAACAAGUAAUUGAAGUGUGUGCUUAUCUAAUGAGCACAAAUAAACAGUGCUGUUGCCUUUGCGUGGUUUAAAGUGACAGCUAUCUCUUCAUGAGAGCUGAUGCGUGAAACAAAGAGUAGACAGCCCUGACAUAUAACAUAGUUGUGCCCUCUCUGCCAUUGAAAUUAAUUUCAGGAAAUAAAUUACCUCUUCAGGACAAUUUUUCAAGUCAUCUGAGAUUUUGUCACGUGGCACGUAACAAUAGCUCUCAUGUAAUAGAGUAAUUGAAACAGCAUUUUAUUUACCAAUACUUGCAUCCGUUCAUCCUCUAAUAAUGAUGCUGUAGAACAAAUGAUGAAGCUUUAGGUACACUCAUUAACUUGUGGAGUUAAACAGCUAGCAUGUUCAGUCAGCUUCAACUGAACAGCAAAAGCAACUAUAUAUAUAUAUUUAAUAAAUGAUUGGCCAGAUUUUUCUCUAUGCAAGAAAAAACUAAUAGCUAGGUAGGAAUCUCUGUUUCCAAUUGAAGAAAGGCUCCUUAAGAGCAUCCUGAACUUCUCAGGGGCUAAAGGAUGCUGAAGGAAAACAGUCUUUUUUAAGCAGCCCACUGCCACAUUGCUUCCAGCUCCCUGCUUCCCUGACAGACUCAGCCAAACCAAGAAAUCCAUUGCUCAAUGGAUGACAACACUGGCAAAGCUGAGUCAACAUCAGUAACAUAAGAGGUUGACUCAAGCAGCUAGUCAAAAUGUAAUCCCUUGUAGGCAUUAUUUCAAUUAAAUUAAAUUCUUUCAAUCUGGAAGAGAAAUUCUGAAGUAUCUCAAUAUGUCUUUCUUACAAGUGAGGAAUGUACUCACUUGUGAGAAAAUGCAAGGUCUUACCUUCUUGACCUCAGCAAUAGGAAACUGUUUUUUUAUUUCACUGCUCUCUGACCAGAAGACCUCUUUGCCUAAGGGCUACAUGUUGAAAAGAUUGAUUUAUUCUUCCCAGAUCAGUCUGCUGCUGCUGCCUAAUGGAUAAACCUACCAGAUGCCUUGUGGUGAGGUGGUGCAGGGAGUGGAAAUGGAGGGAGGAGGGUAGGAUAGGGAAAGGGGAGAAAAAAAGGAAGGCAAAGUUAACACCGGGCAGCCAGCAAAGGUGUUAUGUUCUGGACUGAUCUAGCCAAAGGGAGUAAAAUCAGGAGAGUAGGUGGCAGGAAAAUGCACUCAGCUGAGACAGACAAGCACUUUCACGUCCCUCCUUCUGUACUCUCAUUGUUUUCCACUUUCUAUCAGUAAGGCAAAAAUCCAACAAAGUGACUCAUCUCAGUUUGUAGGAAAAACCCCACCCUCCCUUCAUACCUCUGUCUCGUCCUUCCUAAGCAACCUAACACUUUGAAUAGGAACAGAGAAAUUACUCCAGAGAAAGCUUCACCUUGUCUUCCAUUUUCGAGGUCAAAAGUAAUUAAAAAAUAAAUAAAUACAUUUUAUCAGCACCGAGCAAAAGCAUGUUUUUUACUUAAAUAAAAAUAACGUUUUACUUAGUAUAAAGGCAUCCAGAUACUUCAGAAAGUGGAAAGCAGCCCUGUGGAAAGCAGCAAGAGUUAACUACGGACUGCCACAGGACCCAUGUGUCGUUGGUAGGAUACAGCGUCUUCCCUGGAUUGCUCCAAGCACAGCUGGUGGUCUGUGAAGGAUGGCAGAAAGCUCUUGCAGUGCCUCGGAGUUGUGCACACCCUCAGAAGGCAGGGACAACUGGAAAGGGUGAGGUAACACAUUUUGCAGUGAGCUCUGAUUUUGUUGUGCUUACUACACCUGAUCCCAAUGGAAAUUUUAUCCCGCUUAAAGCUGAUCCCAAAGGAAUCUUAGUGUUCAUGCUGUGCUACGUGUGAGGCAUCUUUAGCUAGUCAGUAACUUUAUUGCCAGGAUAUUCAGACUUUGAACGUGCUGUACAAACACACUGGAAGAUACAAUGCUUUUCCAAAAAAAAAAAAGCCUGACAACAUUCACAUACCGUAUCUCAUAAUCUUUCAAUAUUACUUGCAAAUUCCAUCCUGCAUUCAUGAUGUGCAAUAAAAACAACUGCUUUAUUUUAUGCUAGGCAAGAUGUGAAACAGGCAUCUGUUUUGUAUUUUUGAUAUAACUGAAAUGUUGAGACCAGUCCGAAUGAAUUGUGUGGCUGGAUGAGGCAGUCAUUUAAGUCUGUAUCCUGAUGGCUUAGAGGAGAGUGUAAGACUCAUCCUGGGGGUCACAAACACUCAGGCUGGAACAGGUUUAUCUCCUUCAACCCCUUACUCCAAGAAAGGCCAGCUUUGAGAUUAGAUCAGGUUGCUCAGGGCAUUAUCCAGGUGAGUCCUGAAUAUCUCACAAGAUGGACAUCCCCCCACCUCUCUGGAUAGCCUCUUCCAAUGCUUGGUCACCCCGCAGGAGAUCAACCUUUUCCUCCCAUCUGACCAGCCCAGACCAUGGCUGCUGGCUCGUCUUCCAUCACUGAGGACCUCCGAGAGGAGCCUGCACUUGGGAGAAGAAGCAGUUUUUGAAUGGGCGCAUCCACAUGAGAAUGAGCGGAUAGCAUUUAAGAGGAUAUUCACGGGCAGACCUCUAGGCAAAGAAAGCCCUGCAGGGGUACCUGCUGAGGGCAGUGGUUUUCAUUUGAUAUAUGCAAUGGUUCUGAGAAAGCAUUUCUUGUGCUCCAGUCAGUCCCAAACCCUGCUUCUCCAAGCUCCUGGGCCCAUCCUACGUCCUUAAGUGGUGCUGUGCCAGUGUGUUUGAAGUUUGUUGAACAAGGUCACCUCCUCUGAAGAAUGUUUAUGUAACAGGAACUUGCAGCGCUGUCGUCACGGGCUGCAUAUGCUUUGGUUCUUUUGACAGGUUGUUUCUGGGCCAUCUCUUACAUGUUCUGUAUAUAAGGGCAAUUUGUCGCUGCUGGCAUUCAUCUUCCAUACAUAAGGAACUGAGCAGCUCUAGAGCUAGAGCCAAUCUUUCUAUCUUUGACUUUCAAGCUCUGGUGGCAAAUAUAAUGGCUUUCCAGUAAUCACGAUGCAUUUGUUAAAAUCCUGUCUGCAGCCCUUGCAUAGAAACAAUAGUCGACAGCUUUGCUUGGUGCUACCAGUCAUAAAUGUAAGUGUCCUUACCAGCUCUUUGAGACUUUUGACUUCUUUUUGUGAUCAGCAUCUGCUACUCAUUUUUGCACAGUAAGGCCCUUCCACUGGAUAUUUUAACAGUUAGCCUAACGGAAAGGUAACUUUCACGUAAGUCUCUACACAUUCUCCCUGUAAAUCAAUGGUAAUUUGUUGGCAAUCACUCAUUUCAAACUGAGAUCUCCCUGUUCUCUCAUGUACCAUCUUUUUUUUUUUUUUUCCUUGUCUUAAACAAGCAUAGUGUAGUUCAGGAAAAUGCAGUAUUUCAGUGCAGCUGUGUAAAUGGUGAGCUGACUUGUUCAGCUGAACAUCCUCCCUACAGGAGUGGGCAAGCAGUUGCCCAGAGAGGUGGUGGAGUCUCCAUCUGGAGGCAUUCCCAAUACCUACCUGGGCCUUCAGCAACCUGCUUGAGCCUCAAAGCUGGCCCUUCUUGGUGCAGGGGCUGCACUACGUAACCUCCAGCAGUGCCUGCCAACCCAACUUGUUCCAUUAAUUCCAUGUUUCUGUGUCCUCUGUUUGGUGGACAGGGUCGAUUUGAAAUAUAGCUUGGUUUACCUCACAAUAUAGCCUGGAAAUCAGUCUAGGGAGACAGAAAAUUAUGUCAGCUUUUCACAGACAGUUGACACAAAGAAUAUUGGCAAAUACCCUGAUUCGUGAUAUUUACCUUUUCAGACCAAAUCUGACAUGCCAUGCUUUUCUAUGAACUUCGGGAAAGGAUUAUACUGAGUUCUGCUCUCCUUUCAGUAUGGUACACAGAGGUCAGUGGGGUUACUCUGCUAUCACUGUGCUGUACCAAGACACACCGUAAUACAAAAUCUUAAUGUUCUAUCCUGUGCUCAAAUUUCUCAGAAAGCCCCCAAAAUUAUUUCCCACCAUUAAUCUUACAUUAUCCCUAUUAUUUCUUCUCAGAGAGAACAGCACAUUCUCUGUAAUUGCAUGAUCGGAGAUUUGAAAUUAUUUUAAUGGUGCAAAGCUUUUACGUAACAUCAAUUCUUAAUAAACGUGUCACUUCCAUGACCUGUUGCAGUUUGUCACAGGAAGCAUUAAAGAGCUAGUUAAUAUUUGA
Long non-coding RNA from Oxyura jamaicensis (ruddy duck), 4918 nucleotides. RefSeq lists it as uncharacterized. The transcript is spliced from 2 exons. The record is from RefSeq and is a predicted model, not a curated record. NCBI's taxonomy places the organism in Eukaryota, Metazoa, Chordata, Aves, Anseriformes, Anatidae.